Oryza barthii is the source of this 202-nucleotide non-coding RNA. Lineage: Eukaryota; Viridiplantae; Streptophyta; Magnoliopsida; Poales; Poaceae. The record is from Rfam.
UUUAAGUGGUCAUGAUUUUUCGUAUCCAACUUUGAUCGUCCGUCUUAUUUGAAAUAUUUUUAUGAUUAGUAUUUUUAUUGUUAUUAGAUAAUAAAACAUGAAUAGUACUUUAUGUGUGACUUAUGUUUUUAAUUUUUUUCAAUUUUUUUAAAUAAAACGAACUGUUAAAAAUUGUACACGAAAACUUAUGGCUGCACUUAAA